This 22-nucleotide non-coding RNA is filed under the name Arabidopsis thaliana (thale cress). The record is from RNAcentral. Lineage: Eukaryota; Viridiplantae; Streptophyta; Magnoliopsida; Brassicales; Brassicaceae.
UUAACAAAAUGAGUUGGGUCAA